GGGUGUGCACAAUGAAGUUUAUUGAGCCCCGACUUUGUAAAUCCAUACAAUUAAGUAGUUCUAGGCCCCAAGAUCCCUGGAAUUGCCCUAGUGUCUACAGCUCCUCUUUUGAACUGGUGACUACCUCAUAUUCCUCUCAGUAAAUCCUCCAUUGUGCGUAUGCUAAUGCACACUGGAUUUCUGUAACUCGGUGGCUCCUCUACAUCUACUCAAUCUCAUCUCCCCAAAUCCUGAUAGCAUCCAUCACUUGACAUUCAUUCUCAUACUUCA
RNAcentral lists this long non-coding RNA (270 nucleotides) under Bos taurus (domestic cattle). RNAcentral describes it as "long non-coding RNA NONBTAT007203". Lineage: Eukaryota; Metazoa; Chordata; Mammalia; Artiodactyla; Bovidae. The record is from RNAcentral.